RNAcentral lists this unclassified non-coding RNA (5627 nucleotides) under Dermacentor andersoni. RNAcentral describes it as "glycogen phosphorylase-like". Lineage: Eukaryota; Metazoa; Arthropoda; Arachnida; Ixodida; Ixodidae. The record is from RNAcentral.
AGGCCAGAAAGCCCGCGCCGCGACAAGAAAACAGCGCACGUCGUCUGCGACUGCGCGACCUUCGAGCGUAGCGAGGGGUCGUGAAAAGAGAGUUCCCUCUUCAUCCGCGCUUGGGCCGUUCAGAAACAGCUGAUCGCGCCAGGCACGUCGUACACUGCAGCGCUCUCGUAACCUGCCGUUUAGAAAAUUUUCCAAACCGCCGCAGCGACGAGCAAGGACAAGGUAACGAACCCAAUGUCGGGCCCUACUACCGACUCGGAGCGGCGAAAGCAGAUCAGCGUGCGAGGCAUCGCCCAGGUCGAAAAUGUUGCCAACGUGAAGAAGGCCUUCAACCGGCACGUCCACUACACGCUGGUCAAAGACCGCAAUGUGGCUACGCCUCGGGACUACUUCUUUGCCCUGGCCUACACCGUCAAGGACCACCUCGUCGGCCGAUGGAUCCGCACGCAACAGCAUUACUACGACAAGGACCCCAAGCGGGUGUACUACCUCUCUCUGGAGUACUACAUGGGCCGUUCUCUCACCAACACCAUGGUGAACCUCGGCAUCCAGAAUGCCUGCGAUGAGGCCCUAUACCAGAUGGGUCUGGACAUUGAGGAACUGGAGGAACUCGAGGAGGAUGCCGGUUUGGGCAAUGGCGGCCUGGGUCGGCUGGCGGCCUGCUUCCUCGAUUCCAUGGCCACACUAGGCCUGGCAGCCUAUGGAUAUGGCAUCCGCUACGAGUAUGGUAUCUUCACGCAAAAGAUCACCAAUGGCGAGCAGACUGAAGUGCCAGACGACUGGCUUCGCUUUGGCAACCCGUGGGAGAAGGCUCGCCCAGAGUACAUGAUUCCUGUCAACUUUUACGGCCGUGUGGAGAAGACCGACAAGGGCUUCAAAUGGGUCGACGCACAGGUUGUGUUUGCCAUGCCCUACGACAACCCCAUUCCCGGGUUCCGCAACAACGUUGUCAACACCAUGCGCCUGUGGUCAUGCAAGUCGCCCAUCAACUUCAACCUUCGCUUCUUCAACAACGGUGACUACAUUCAGGCUGUCCUCGACAGGAACCUUGCAGAGAACAUCUCCAGGGUGCUCUACCCCAAUGACAAUGUGUUCGAGGGCAAGGAGCUUCGUCUGAAGCAGGAGUACUUCAUGGUCGCGGCAACGCUGCAGGACAUCCUUCGCCGUUACAAAUCUUCCAAGUUUGGUCAGACAGAUGUGGUGCGCACCCACCUGGACCAGUUCCCGGAGAAGGUGGCCAUCCAACUCAACGACACACACCCGGCGCUCGCCAUUCCGGAGCUCAUGCGCAUCUUCAUAGACAUCGAAGGCCUCGAUUUCAACAAGGCUAUGGAACUGACGACAAAGACAUGUGCCUACACGAACCACACGGUGCUGCCAGAGGCCUUGGAGCGCUGGCCAUGCUCCAUGUUGCAGAACAUACUUCCGCGUCACCUGCAGAUCAUCUUUGAUAUCAACGCCCGUUUCCUUGACGACGUGAGCAAGAAAUACCCCGGGGACCACAACCGGUUGCGGCGUAUGUCGCUGGUCGAGGAAGAAGGUGAGAAGCGCAUCAACAUGGCUCACCUGGCCAUCGUGUGUUCUCACAAGAUCAACGGUGUGGCACGGAUCCACUCCGAGAUUCUCAAGAAGGACUUGUUCAAGGACUUCUACGAGAUGUACCCGGAGCGUUUCCUGAACAAGACCAAUGGCAUUACUCCCCGCCGGUGGCUCCUGCUCUGCAACCCUAGCCUGGCCGAUCUCAUUGCCGAUAAAAUUGGCGAGGACUGGAUCGUGCACCUGGAGCAGCUGACCAAGCUGAAGCCUCUGGUCAAUGACAAGGCAUUCCUGCGAGACUUGCAGAAAGUGAAGCAGGAAAACAAGAUGCGGCUGUGUGAGUACCUGCACAAGCUGACGGGCAUCAAGCUCAACCCAUCGUCCAUGUUCGACAUGCAAGUGAAGCGUAUCCACGAGUACAAGCGACAGCUGCUCAACUGCCUGCACAUCAUCUGCCUGUACAACCGCAUCAAGGCAGACCCCUCGGCGCCCUUCGUGCCACGCACCAUCAUGAUCGGUGGAAAGGCGGCUCCGGGCUACCACAUAGCGAAGCAGAUCAUCAAGCUGAUCAUCGCGGUGGGUAAUGUGGUGAAUCACGACCCUGUGGUUGGGGACAAGCUGAAGGUGAUCUACCUGGAGAACUACCGUGUCACCCUGGCCGAGAAGAUCAUCCCGGCCGCCGACCUCAGCGAACAGAUCUCCACUGCCGGCACAGAGGCUUCAGGCACCGGAAACAUGAAGUUCAUGCUGAACGGAGCUUUGACCAUUGGCACCCUGGACGGUGCUAACGUCGAAAUGCGAGAGGAAAUGGGCCCGGAGAACAUAUUCAUCUUUGGAAUGAACGAGGAAGAAGUUGAAGACCUCAAGAAGAGGGGCUACAACGCCUGGGACUACUACAACAAGCUGCCAGAAGCGAAGAAGGCCAUUGACCAGAUUAACAGUGGUUUCUUCAGCCCAUCCAACCCAAACCUCUUCCAUGACCUCACCAACGUUCUGCUCAACCAUGACAGGUUCUUCUUGCUGGCCGACUUCGAGUCGUACAUGAAGUGCCAGGAGCAGGUCUCGGCCAUGUACACGAACCAGGAGGAGUGGACCAAGAUGGCGCUGCUCAACAUUGCCUCGUCGGGCAAGUUCUCGAGCGACCGCACCAUCUGCGAGUACGCCCGCGAGAUCUGGGGCGUCGAGCCCUCCUGGGAGAAGCUGCCUCCACCACACGAGUCCAAGGGCGAUGAGGAGAAGAAUUAAAAAAGACGGUGGCCACACGUGGGACUUCGACAAAGGAGGCCCUAUUGCCCGUCAACCGCAAGCACGAGCUGCUGCUUCUUCUACCAACCAGCAACCCACCGAUGUCCAUGCUGAACUUACCAUCUAACCACCGUGGUUUUUAGUCCCUAGGCCUUGAGGCUCUGUUCCGUAGUAUAACUGAAAAAAAAAAUGAAAUACAAAAUGCUGGCCUCAUAAAGCAGUAGCCACCACUGAAAAACUUUAUUUUUGUUGCUGUAUUCCUAGCAUUGUUUGAACAAGACAGUUUCACCGGAAGCUAGAGACUUGAAGUGAUCAACAGAGGACAAACAAUUACUGUCUCUGGAACCAACAUUUAUUUCAUCAGCGGGUGGCCUUGAUAAGGACAAGCAAGUCCCUUGAUGAAUUGUUUGCUCCAGAGCAAACCCUUGUCUGUUGAUCCCUUGUCUGUUGAUCACUAGCGUGUGUUGGUGUCAUAAAUUGCUAAGGUGCUUCUUGAGAAGGUUGCGUACAAUGUGAAAGUCUUGUGGGAUGUGACAGGUCUGCAAAUUUAAAACUUACUCAAUGCUGUAAGUGAAAGGAUUUGCUGAUGCAAAUCUAAAGGUUUAAAUCUAUGGCUUAAUUAGAAGUCGUUCGUGAAAGUGAAACUGCGUACAUGGGAGCGCUGUGUCAUAACCAUUUAUUCGGCUUCAAGUGCUGCAAUGUGGCCGUACUUAAGGAUUAUGGGAGAAAGGUUGAUUUCGUUGAUCUGUCUCGCGUGUGUAUUAGUUGUUCUCUUGAAUAAUUUUCAGUCCCCUUAAAAUGUUCAGAAAUGAUGCUCUAGCAUUGGCAUCCUACAAACAGCCCAUAGCUCUUGACAUUAUAGUGUGUGGCCCUAAAAAGGGCUUCUGGCUAGGUAGUCAAGCAAUGCUGUUGGCAGAGUGUUCUCUGAAGCCAGAACAGUCCAGUCCUGUAGACCAUAAGUGAGGCACUGCUUUAGUGUGCAGUGGGACUAGUGUCAUUUGCCUGAUUAGAGAAUCUGUGAUCGUAAGCUUUAUUGUAUUUAGUAUAUAGCAUAGUUCAGCUCCUUUGUGCAGGCUAUCAUCACAAUCUUCAGUCGGUCUGGAGCAAGAAGAGUGCGGUGGUCUAGACUAUUUCUUAAUGCUUACUGGUUGGGGCAGGCAAGAUACAGAACACAACUUCAAACACACAAGAAUGACUUGCGAGUUGAGAGAGCUAUUGGUCUCAAUGAAGUAUGCCCAGUGCCACCUACUCUAAUAUUUCGAGUCAUCAACCAUGCCCCCAGAACACAAGUCGUCCUCCAAGAAAGGGAAGUUCUCGGUACCUUAAGGGCUGAAAAAAUCCCUUCUUUUGAGCACCGAGAUAUACCGGCCACAACCAAUAAUGGAAGUGUCGUAAAAAUUUGCCAUAAACAUCCUAUAAUGCUUCGUUUGGCACGCGAUCAAAAGUCAUUGUAUGAGAUGCCGAGACAAGUAAAAAGUAUUUCAAGAGAAUUGGAACGUUCUUGGCUUCCUUGAAGCUGUGUUUGCAGGAGCUUUGAACUGGCAACUUAGUGACUGGUUCUUGUAGGCACCAGUCACUGCUUUUGAUUGCAUAGGAUUGCACGUGUGGCUCUUGAAAAAGCAUGGAAAAGGGGAAAGUAAACUUAGGAAGUGGGCAACCUGUCAAAGAUGUGGGACUACUUGGGAUAUUCUGGUACGCUUCGAUUUUUUUCUUUCUUGCACAAUGUGCUUACAUUGCAAUCUGGCAGCCACAUUAUGUUUGCGAUAGUUGCAUCGCAAUUGAAUGGUCACAUUGCUCACGUCUUGCAGCGGGGUGGCCAGUAGUAGCACAUUGUGGAGAGUUUAAUGUAGAGAAAAACCGUACUUACUACGUUGAUAAAAUUACGUAAGCUCAGUAUUCUUUCUGGGUUUUUCACCAUCCUUUCUGCAUUUCGAAAAAUUAUUACAAAUGGACAACUUGUAAAGCUGUGCCAUCGAAAGUUCUUUGAUGACUGGCUUUGAACUACAGAACAAUCCCAGUGUGUCUUACACUGGCACAGGCUGUGAUGGACACAGACAGCUUUCACAUCUUAAGACGCAAGCAGCAGCAAAUGUUUUCGAUUUGCGGGCAAUCGCCUAUAGCCUCGGAACACCAGUCUUGUGGAAAGAGACCUGCUCGCAUCAGUUUCCCUACGAACUGCAAUUCCUCAGUGGAUGACGGGUGCCAAGUUAUGGUCUCUGCCAUCUUGAAAGCGUACUGCAUACUGCCCAUAUGUGAUCCUAGUUGUCUGUCAUUGUGUUUCUAGAGAAGACUGCUUUUUAUCACUCCUGCAAGCUCGUGAUGUCCAACUUGUUUUUAAUGCAAUUUACCCAUUUUCUUUCUUCCUUUGCUACUGCUGUUAUUUAAGCUCUGUUAUUGUCUUUCAGACAACUCACCUAUUUUUUGUUGUUGAUUUGCCAUUUGCGUGGAAUGUUAUGUGUUGCACGUCGUUCACAUCCUUUAUCUAGGUAGCAAUAAAUUUUUUGAAGUCUUUCACUGUAGCCUCCAUAUUGCCCCAAAAUGGCUGAAGCUGUGCUCUUUCUUGCCAAAAGGACGGCCGUGGUUCCUGAAUGGUUCUUCCCCAUUUCCUGCCAUGGCUCAGAACCUCUAAAUAUAUGCCAGCUGCUUUAUUCUAAGGCAGUCAUGGUCAGAGACAUUUUGGGUAAAUAGUGAAGAACGGAAAAAAUGUAUCAGUGUUUGGUGCAAGCAUUGCAAACUGUUCCUGUUUAAGUAUGUGUUGUAGUUAUUGCGGCGUGCUGCACUCAUGUCAAAUGUGGCAGUCGCACAAAUAUCCACGAUAAUGAUUAAAGACAUGUUGAAACCUUGAA